GUAGUAGUAUCUGGUAGUAUCAUUUCUGUUCUAAUAAGUGUAGUUCCAGUGCUGAAAUUUCCUACAAUAUAGUAUUUAUAUAGGUAUUUAUAAUUAUUAGGUUCGAGAAUUAUCUAGACUUGGUGGUUCAGGAGUAGCACAAAGUACAAGGAAAGUGCUUUAUAAGGUUCUGGGCAAUGAAAUUGCACAAAAAUAUUGGGGCCAAACAGAAGAGAAGUUUGAAAUCAUUUUUAGUGGCCAAAAGCAAUUUUAGACUCCAUGAAAGGUCAAUUUCAAGAGUCAAAAGAAACCGAAAUUAUCAAUAUAAUUAAAAUAUGGCUUGUAAAAA
Sitophilus oryzae (rice weevil) is the source of this 328-nucleotide long non-coding RNA. RefSeq lists it as uncharacterized. The record is from RefSeq and is a predicted model, not a curated record. NCBI's taxonomy places the organism in Eukaryota, Metazoa, Arthropoda, Insecta, Coleoptera, Curculionidae. The transcript is spliced from 3 exons.